RNAcentral lists this ribosomal RNA (425 nucleotides) under uncultured bacterium. Its description in RNAcentral is "bacterial SSU rRNA". It matches the Rfam family "Bacterial small subunit ribosomal RNA", at positions 356 to 773 of the family's 1533-position model. The record is from RNAcentral.
GGGGAAUUUUGGACAAUGGGCGAAAGCCUGAUCCAGCCAUUCCGCGUGCAGGAUGAAGGCCCUCGGGUUGUAAACUGCUUUUGUACGGAACGAAAAGCUCUUCUCUAAUACGGAGGGGUCAUGACGGUACCGUAAGAAUAAGCACCGGCUAACUACGUGCCAGCAGCCGCGGUAAUACGUAGGGUGCAAGCGUUAAUCGGAAUUACUGGGCGUAAAGCGUGCGCAGGCGGUUUUGUAAGACAGAGGUGAAAUCCCCGGGCUCAACCUGGGAACUGCCUUUGUGACUGCAAGGCUGGAGUGCGGCAGAGGGGGAUGGAAUUCCGCGUGUAGCAGUGAAAUGCGUAGAUAUGCGGAGGAACACCGAUGGCGAAGGCAAUCCCCUGGGCCUGCACUGACGCUCAUGCACGAAAGCGUGGGGAGCAAAC